Molecule: ribosomal RNA, 492 nt
Filed under: uncultured bacterium
Lineage: Bacteria
Description: partial 16S ribosomal RNA
Rfam family: Bacterial small subunit ribosomal RNA
Source: RNAcentral
AUUGAACGCUGGCGGCGUGCUUUACACAUGCAAGUCGAACGGUAACAGGCCUUCUGGUGCUGACGAGUGGCUGACGGGUGAGUAAUGCAUCGGAACGUACCCAGAGGUUGGGGAUAACGCAGCUAAAGCUGUGCUAAUACCGCAUGUGAUCUGAGGAUGAAAGCGGGGGACCGAGCAGCAAUGUUUGGCCUCGCGCCUUUGGAGCGGCCGAUGUCGGAUUAGCUAGUUGGUGGGGUAAAGGCCUACCAAGGCGACGAUCCGUAGCUGGUAUGAGAGGACGACCAGCCACACUGGGACUGAGACACGGCCAAGACUCCUACGGGAGGCAGCAGUGGGGAAUUUUGGACAAUGGGCGCAAGCCUGAUCCAGCAAUGCCGCGUGCGGGAAGAAGGCCUUCGGGUUGUAAACAGCUUUUGGCAGGAACGAAACGGUGUCCGCUAAUACCGGGCGCUAAUGACGGUAACUGCAGAAUAAGCACCGGCUAACUACGUG